AGCAGUAGGGAAUCUCCNCAAUGGACGCAAGUCUGAUGGAGCAACGCCGCGUGAGUGAAGAAGGCUUUCGGGUCGUAAAACUCUGUUGUUGGAGAAGAAUGGUCGGCAGAGUAACUGUUGUCGGCGUGACGGUAUCCAACCAGAAAGCCACGGCUAACUACGUGCCAGCAGCCGCGGUAAUACGUAGGUGGCAAGCGUUAUCCGGAUUUAUUGGGCGUAAAGCGAGCGCAGGCGGUUUUUUAAGUCUGAUGUGAAAGCCCUCGGCUUAACCGAGGAAGCGCAUCGGAAACUGGGAAACUUGAGUGCAGAAGAGGACAGUGGAACUCCAUGUGUAGCGGUG
RNAcentral lists this ribosomal RNA (340 nucleotides) under uncultured Lactobacillus sp. RNAcentral's name for it is "bacterial SSU rRNA". It matches the Rfam family "Bacterial small subunit ribosomal RNA", at positions 350 to 683 of the family's 1533-position model. The record is from RNAcentral. Lineage: Bacteria; Bacillati; Bacillota; Bacilli; Lactobacillales; Lactobacillaceae.